Diachasma alloeum is the source of this 1383-nucleotide long non-coding RNA. RefSeq lists it as uncharacterized. The transcript is spliced from 2 exons. The record is from RefSeq and is a predicted model, not a curated record. Lineage: Eukaryota; Metazoa; Arthropoda; Insecta; Hymenoptera; Braconidae.
AAUGUUACACUCAACCUGCUACACCGGUGGAUUCGUGCCACCACGUACUAGUGGGGGGAGGGGCUAUCACCCCGACGCAAUCCGCUUUCGAAAGUCGAUAAUGAAACUGGUGGCCCGGUGAGGGGAGCGUGGAGAAGUGAGGGUGACUGUUAUAUCGCCUACGGGCUGCGUCCCUGUGGUCAAGUAGAUACGUUCCUAUUCGAUCAGCCGCAGCAUUGAACCUGCAAUAAUGAGAAUGAUGGAGUAAAGGGCUUUGGAGCCAAUGGAAGGUUCUAUCUGAUGCUGGAUAUCACUUUCGAGAAUUGUCGGUGAUUAAAUGUUAAUUGGGAUUCUGGGGAUAACAUUAUAUCCUGUUAAUAGCCUUAUUAACUGCAUACGGAAAUCAAAGGAAAUAAGAAAUGAGUAAAUAGUGGAAUUUGUAAUCACUGCACCAAAUCACUGCGCCUUAAUUCAAUUGUAAUAACAGGAUACUCUGCGCCAAUUUCUCAGUAUGAGAAUAAGUUUCAUUAUGAAUUAGGUUUUAAUGGUCUUAUAAUAAAGUUACUCGAGCAUUAUUUGUAUGCACAUGUGUGCAUCAUAUGUCGUUCUGGAUAUGACACAUUAUUAUAACUACGGAAUAUUUGAGCAUAUGAAUUGAAACUCCUAAAUAGAGCUGUGGGACACCCCCGCGUUUUAAUGCGUAAUUCUUUUUUUCAACAAUAAAAUGUCAUCACGGAACGUCAAGUAAACAAUUUCCAAUUAAUUUUAGGCAUUGCGACCCCUCUAAAUAUGAUCUUGAUCUUGUAUCUUUCCCGAGUCUCAUGGAAUUUAUGUUUUUGCGGUCGCUAAUUCCGAGUUUGUCGGUUAUUUAGAAAAGCCUACGUUCUGUUUAUUAUUAACAAUCUAAUUGUUUAAAGCACCGUACCACCUUAACUAUGAGGGUUAGACGGAAAAUUUCAAAUGAUGAAUUAUGGAGAAUUCGAUAGGGUAUGAUUUUUGUCAUAACAAUUUAAACAAUCAAAUUGUUGACAAUAAAUGGAACGCUGGAUUUUUCUUAAAUAACUGACAAAUUCUUCAUCAGUCACCCAAAAAACAUAAAUUCCACGAAACUCGGCGACUCCGAUGUUCAUACACGAUCAGCUCCAGCUUAUGCAUUACGGUACCCCACUCCAUUAGAUCAUACUUAGAGGGGUUGCAAUGCCUAAAAUUGAUUCAAAAUUAUUUACUUCAUAUUCCGUCAUCAUAUUUCAUUGUUUAAAAAAAAGAAUAACGCACUAGACCGCGAGUGGUUGAUACACUUCUGAAAAUCGGGGGUGCCCGCAGCUCUAAAUGGGAUUUAGGCGACUAUGAAGCUGACUAUUUCGCCUGUAUAUGUAGAUGAAUACACUAUUUCACUUUCUUUCA